Molecule: ribosomal RNA, 448 nt
Filed under: uncultured bacterium
Lineage: Bacteria
Description: bacterial SSU rRNA
Rfam family: Bacterial small subunit ribosomal RNA
Source: RNAcentral
UUCCAGACUCCUACGGGAGGCAGCAGUGGGGAAUAUUGCACAAUGGGGGAAACCCUGAUGCAGCAACGCCGCGUGAGUGAAGAAGUAUUUCGGUAUGUAAAGCUCUAUCAGCAGGGAAGAAGAUGACGGUACCUGAUUAAGAAGCCCCGGCUAACUACGUGCCAGCAGCCGCGGUAAUACGUAGGGGGCAAGCGUUAUCCGGAUUUACUGGGUGUAAAGGGGGCGUAGACGGCAGUGCAAGUCUGAAGUGAAAGCCCCUGGCUAAACCCGGGAACUGCUUUGGAAACUGUACGGCUUGAGUGCUGGAGAGGUAAGCGGAAUUCCUAGUGUAGCGGUGAAAUGCGUAGAUAUUAGGAGGAACACCAGUGGCGAAGGCGGCUUACUGGACAGUAACUGACGUUGAGGCUCGAAAGCGUGGGUAGCAAACAGGAUUAGAUACCCGGGUACC